This 85-nucleotide transfer RNA is filed under the name Felis catus (domestic cat). It matches the Rfam family "tRNA". From Rfam's summary of the family: Transfer RNA (tRNA) molecules are approximately 80 nucleotides in length. Their secondary structure includes four short double-helical elements and three loops (D, anti-codon, and T loops). The record is from Rfam by way of RNAcentral. Lineage: Eukaryota; Metazoa; Chordata; Mammalia; Carnivora; Felidae.
GCCUGGAUGGCUCAGUUGGUUGAGCGACUGACUUCAGCUCAGGUCAUUAUCUUGCAGUUUGUGGGUUCGAGCCCUGUGUCAGGCU